This 466-nucleotide ribosomal RNA is filed under the name uncultured bacterium. Its description in RNAcentral is "bacterial SSU rRNA". It matches the Rfam family "Bacterial small subunit ribosomal RNA", at positions 32 to 507 of the family's 1533-position model. The record is from RNAcentral.
AAUCAACGCUGGCGGCGUGCCUCAGACAUGCAAGUCGAACGAUUAAAGCUCUCUUCGGAGAGUGUAUAGAGUGGCGCACGGGUGAGUAACACGUAAGUAAUCUACCUUUGAGUGGGGAAUAACCCGGGGAACCCGAGCUAAUACCGCAUAAUGCAGCGGCAUCGCAAGAUGACAGUUGUUAAAGGAGCAAUCCGCUUAAAGAGGAGCUUGCGGCAGAUUAGCUAGUUGGUAAGGUAAUGGCUUACCAAGGCUACGAUCUGUAUCCGGUCUAAGAGGACGGUCGGACACACUGACACUGAAUAACGGGUCAGACUCCUACGGGAGGCAGCAGUCGGGAAUUUUGGGCAAUGGGCGAAAGCCUGACCCAGCAACGCCGCGUGAAGGAUGAAGUAUUUCGGUAUGUAAACUUCGAAAGAAUAGGAAGAAUAAAUGACGGUACUAUUUAUAAGGUCCGGCUAACUACGUG